This 140-nucleotide non-coding RNA is filed under the name gamma proteobacterium IMCC1989. The record is from RNAcentral. Lineage: Bacteria; Pseudomonadati; Pseudomonadota; Gammaproteobacteria; Alteromonadales. RNAcentral also lists the same sequence under 1 other name.
UCCACAGCUUAUGUGCUAGGUGCUUGCGUCGCAAGUGAAACGGGAAAACAGUGAAAUUCUGUUACUGCCCCCGCAACAGUAAUACUACAAAGCCAUACGGCGUAGUAAGUCUGGAGACCGGCCUAACAUUAUUAUUUUUU